CCUACGGGAGGCUGCAGUGAGGAAUAUUGGUCAAUGGACGAGAGUCUGAACCAGCCAAGUAGCGUGAAGGAUGACUGCCCUAUGGGUUGUAAACUUCUUUUAUAUGGGAAUAAAACAGGGUAUGCAUACCCUCUUGUAUGUACCAUAUGAAUAAGGAUCGGCUAACUCCGUGCCAGCAGCCGCGGUAAUACGGAGGAUCCGAGCGUUAUCCGGAUUUAUUGGGUUUAAAGGGAGCGUAGGUGGAUUGUUAAGUCAGUUGUGAAAGUUUGCGGCUCAACCGUAAAAUUGCAGUUGAAACUGGCAGUCGUGAGUACAGUAGAGGUAGGCGGAAUUCGUGGUGUAGCGGUGAAAUGCUUAGAUAUCACGAAGAACUCCGAUUGCGAAGGCAGCUCACUGGACUGCAACUGACACUGAUGCUCGAAAGUGUGGGUAUCAAACAGGAUUAGAUACCCCAGUAGUC
This 460-nucleotide ribosomal RNA is filed under the name uncultured bacterium. RNAcentral's name for it is "partial 16S ribosomal RNA". It matches the Rfam family "Bacterial small subunit ribosomal RNA", at positions 338 to 795 of the family's 1533-position model. The record is from RNAcentral.